Molecule: ribosomal RNA, 496 nt
Filed under: uncultured bacterium
Lineage: Bacteria
Description: partial 16S ribosomal RNA
Rfam family: Bacterial small subunit ribosomal RNA
Source: RNAcentral
GAUGAACGCUGGCGGCGUGCCUAAUACAUGCAAGUCGAGCGAACAGACGAGGAGCUUGCUCCUCUGACGUUAGCGGCGGACGGGGGAGUAACACGUGGAUAACCUACCUAUAAGACUGGGAUAACUUCGGGAAACCGGAGCUAAUACCGGAUAAUAUAUUGAACCGCAUGGUUCAAUAGUGAAAGACGGUUUUGCUGUCACUUAUAGAUGGAUCCGCGCCGCAUUAGCUAGUUGGUAAGGUAACGGCUUACCAAGGCGACGAUGCGUAGCCGACCUGAGAGGGUGAUCGGCCACACUGGAACUGAGACACGGUCCAGACUCCUACGGGAGGCAGCAGUAGGGAAUCUUCCGCAAUGGGCGAAAGCCUGACGGAGCAACGCCGCGUGAGUGAUGAAGGUCUUCGGAUCGUAAAACUCUGUUAUUAGGGAAGAACAAAUGUGUAAGUAACUAUGCACGUCUUGACGGUACCUAAUCAGAAAGCCACGGCUAACUACGU